RNAcentral lists this ribosomal RNA (410 nucleotides) under Arthrobacter globiformis. RNAcentral's name for it is "bacterial SSU rRNA". It matches the Rfam family "Bacterial small subunit ribosomal RNA", at positions 956 to 1363 of the family's 1533-position model. The record is from RNAcentral. Lineage: Bacteria; Bacillati; Actinomycetota; Actinomycetes; Micrococcales; Micrococcaceae.
UUAACGCGAAGAACCUUACCAAGGCUUGACAUGGACCGGACCGCCGCAGAGAUGUGGUUUCUCCUUUUGGGGCCGGUUCACAGGUGGUGCAUGGUUGUCGUCAGCUCGUGUCGUGAGAUGUUGGGUUAAGUCCCGCAACGAGCGCAACCCUCGUUCCAUGUUGCCAGCGCGUAAUGGCGGGGACUCAUGGGAGACUGCCGGGGUCAACUCGGAGGAAGGUGGGGACGACGUCAAAUCAUCAUGCCCCUUAUGUCUUGGGCUUCACGCAUGCUACAAUGGCCGGUACAAAGGGUUGCGAUACUGUGAGGUGGAGCUAAUCCCAAAAAGCCGGUCUCAGUUCGGAUUGGGGUCUGCAACUCGACCCCAUGAAGUCGGAGUCGCUAGUAAUCGCAGAUCAGCAACGCUGCGGA